AGCUGGUCCAACGCUAGUGGUUUAUCAGAAGCAUCACUAACAUUGGUAUAUGUGUACAACCCACAACUGCUAAAUUUGACUGGCUUAAA
Molecule: Y RNA, 89 nt
Filed under: Otolemur garnettii (small-eared galago)
Lineage: Eukaryota; Metazoa; Chordata; Mammalia; Primates; Galagidae
Rfam family: Y RNA
About the family: Y RNAs are components of the Ro ribonucleoprotein particle (Ro RNP), in association with Ro60 and La proteins.
Source: Rfam by way of RNAcentral